Molecule: non-coding RNA, 29 nt
Filed under: Homo sapiens (human)
Lineage: Eukaryota; Metazoa; Chordata; Mammalia; Primates; Hominidae
Source: RNAcentral
UGGAGGAGCAGCCCCAGAUGCAAGACGCC